GAAGGAAACUUGUUGUUGAUA
This 21-nucleotide small nuclear RNA is filed under the name Arabidopsis thaliana (thale cress). Its description in RNAcentral is "snRNA_06978". Lineage: Eukaryota; Viridiplantae; Streptophyta; Magnoliopsida; Brassicales; Brassicaceae. The record is from RNAcentral.